GAGGGUGUAGCUCAGUGGUGGAGCAUGUGUUUAGCAUGCAUGAGGUCCUGGGUUCAAUCCCCAGCACCACCA
RNAcentral lists this transfer RNA (72 nucleotides) under Camelus bactrianus (Bactrian camel). It matches the Rfam family "tRNA". From Rfam's summary of the family: Transfer RNA (tRNA) molecules are approximately 80 nucleotides in length. Lineage: Eukaryota; Metazoa; Chordata; Mammalia; Artiodactyla; Camelidae. The record is from Rfam by way of RNAcentral. RNAcentral also lists the same sequence under 2 other names.